AGAGUUUGAUCAUGGCUCAGGAUUAACGCUGGCGGCGUGCCUAACACAUGCAAGUCGAACGAGGUAGCAAUACCUAGUGGCAGACGGGUGAGUAACACGUGGUCAACCUACCGCUAAGUGGGGGAUAACUAGCCGAAAGGUUAGCUAAUACCGCAUACGUGUCCGGGGGACAUCCCCUGGCCAUAAAAGGAGCAAUCCGC
RNAcentral lists this ribosomal RNA (200 nucleotides) under uncultured bacterium. Its description in RNAcentral is "partial 16S ribosomal RNA". It matches the Rfam family "Bacterial small subunit ribosomal RNA", at positions 8 to 218 of the family's 1533-position model. The record is from RNAcentral.